AUUCUGCUGACAGGAGGGAAAAUAUCUACCUAUCAAAUGAUAGAGAAUGCAGUAAAAGUUGAAGCAGAGCAUCUAUACCAAAACAGACUUUGUGCUGUGCAGUCUUUCAUAGCUCUCGAUGCUGUGUCCAGUUAAAAAGUAUCACAGGAGGAAACUCACAAAUACGUAGGAAUGGAGUUGCAUUGUGUUCCCGUUUUUAACUGCUGAAGAGACCAGGACAGGAGGGAGUACCAUAGAGUUCUUUCUUCCCACCAGCUGGACACAGAUCACAUUUUUCUGCUUUGUAUGUAGUGUACAUUGGGGGAAAAUGCAAGAUGAUUUUUUUCAGAAACUGCUGCAGCCCUAGCAAACAGAACUACUUCAGUGCCCUGCAGCAUGAGUGUUGGACAAGUUAUUCUAACAAACAUAACUUCAGAGAAAAGGCAUUCGGAGCUUUUGGAUGCCGAACUAGUGGACAGCAGCAUAUACAUGUCUUAAACAGGAUGAGCUGCACCAGCACUUUCUAAAGCUUUCCUCUGCAUUUGAAAUACACAAGAUGCCCAGCAUAUAUACAUCCACAAAUAUCUGACUUUGUUACGUGACCUUCCUUGUUCCUUUAAGAAGUACAAGAAAUAUGAACAGGACAGCCUGUCCUGCAGCUUGAUAUUUGGCCAUAUUUACUGGAUUAUACAUUCUCUCUGUUUUAACCUUCUGAAUAUGCAGUUUCUGCCAGAUAACCAAUUCCCUCUUGCCCAGGAGAACUGACUGUUAUAGUCACCGCAGUGAUAUUUUUACUAAAAAUAGUGUUACACCAGCCUAUCCUAGGAUAACUAGAUGACUUUUGAGUAAUUAUUUGGAAAUAAUUUAGAAUGAAGAGUUUCUGAUUGUUUCUAAAGUGUUUUUGAAACAUAGUAUUUAGGUCUUUCAGGACAGACACUCAAAAAUAGGUAACAGACUUACAUUUAAGUUUGUGAAUGUAAGCGAAAGCUUCUUAUGAAUCAGUAUUACUAAAUUCUAUGCAUACUGAUAAAUUGAUCUUUAAGAUAAAUAUGUAAUUCUCAUGCUUCAGUAAACAAGCAAAGAAAAUUUAAUCUAUGGAAGGUAUGAUUCUAAAGUUGAACAUGUAAGUUUGGGAAGAAUGUCAAUUAACCAUUUAGACCUAAAAUACUCUUGGGGCAUUUAUUUGCAUAAUUUUGUUUCUUUAAUUAAAAAACAAAUAUCUCAAA
Long non-coding RNA from Pipra filicauda (Wire-tailed manakin), 1205 nucleotides. RefSeq lists it as uncharacterized. NCBI's taxonomy places the organism in Eukaryota, Metazoa, Chordata, Aves, Passeriformes, Pipridae. The transcript has 2 exons. The record is from RefSeq and is a predicted model, not a curated record.